Panicum virgatum (switchgrass) is the source of this 2931-nucleotide RNA transcript. It is a transcript of the gene named ubiquitin carboxyl-terminal hydrolase 25-like, with no coding region annotated. The transcript is spliced from 10 exons. The record is from RefSeq and is a predicted model, not a curated record. NCBI's taxonomy places the organism in Eukaryota, Viridiplantae, Streptophyta, Magnoliopsida, Poales, Poaceae.
ACUCUUCAGUCCCCUUCUCCUUCCGACCCCGAGGGGAAAAAUCGGACAACUCGGGUUCCCUCCCUCGUCUCUCCUCUCGCGUCCCCUCGUCGCCCUCCUGCUGCCCGAUUCGAGGGCGCGCGCCAUCCCCACCGCUCGCAGCUCGCCUCGCCGGCCGCGCCAACCCUCGAGCUCGUGUCGGGAGCGCCCAGCUUCUCCACGGUGGCCGUUCCUCGGCGGCGCCCGCUGGUGGGCGAUGCGAUCGGAUGAGUUGGCGGCGGCGGCGGCAGCGCUUCGUGGAGCGGAGGAGGAGGAGGGGGGCCUUGUGCUGUCCCGCGGCGGCGCUACCCCCGCCGCGCCCGCCCCUCGGAGCCGGUGAUGGCCCCGACCGCGGAGCCACCUUCGCCGCCGCCGCCGCGGCGCCCCCGCACGGGCCCGCCCCCGGGGCUGAAAAACCUCGGCAACACCUGCUACCUCAACAGCGUCCUCCAGUGCCUCGCGUCCACGCCGCCCCUCGCCACGUUCUGCCUCGCCUCGCGCCACUCCAACCUGUGCAAGAAGGUAUUCCCGAACAGGGACAAGGAGUGUGCAUUCUGCGUGCUCGAGCGCCAAAUCGCGCGGCUUCUAAGGGCAGAUGCAGGGGCACUCGACUCGCCAGCGAAGAUCAUCCGCUGCAUGCCCCUGUUUGCCGAACACUUCAGAUGGGGGCGCCAGGAGGAUGCGCACGAGUUCCUCCGCUAUGUCGUAGACGCCUGUCACACUGCUGGUCUCAGCAUGCACAAGCGGCUACCUGCGGCAGUUGCCAAUGGAAACUGUGGUGAGGAGGAGGGCCGGGGGCAGGGUACAUGUAUGAUUAUGAGGGAGACAUUUGGUGGGGCGCUGCUCAGUCAGGUGAAGUGUCUUGUGUGCAAGGUAGAGUCAAACAAGACAGACGAGAUAAUGGAUAUCAGUCUCGAUCUACCUGGGAGCAGUUCUGUUGCUGAUGCCCUUGCCCGCUUCUUUCAGCCGGAGAUCUUGGAGGGUGCAAACAAAUAUAGUUGCGAAAGGUGUAAAAAGCUCACCUCAGCACGGAAGCAAAUGUUUAUACUCAGGGCACCUAAGGUGCUUGUCAUACAACUCAAGAGGUUUGAGGGGAUAAAUGGUGGAAAGAUCAACAGGAGUAUAGAAUUCAAGGAGGCCCUUGUUCUUUCUGACUUCAUGUAUAAUAAAAACCAGGAUUCACAACCAGCAUAUAAUCUUUUUGGUUGUAUCGUCCACUCAGGGCUCUCCCCUGAGUCUGGUCACUACUAUGCGUAUGUUAAGGAUGCUGUUGGUCGAUGGUUUUGUUGUAACGAUUCUCAUGUCUCCCUAUCAAGCUCUCAGAAUGUUUUGUCUGAGAAGGUCUAUAUCCUAUUUUAUAUACUGAAUUCGAAAAAUCAAAAGCCUAGUCCAAAUGGUUGCUCUUCUACUGCAGCUAAACCUUUCAGCACCAAUGGAAAUGGCAUAUCAAGCUCCUCACCUAAUGAGACCUUGAAGAUACCUUUGGUAAAACAAAAUGGUUCAUGUUCUACCAAAGGUAAUGCCCUGCUGCCCCUGAAGAAUGGCAAGAUUGCAUCAGGUCCACUUAUCAAGCCAAUUCACUUUAAGAAUAGUGGGACAGAGAAGGUUAAGUCAAAUGGCAAAGAAAACCUGCCUUCAAAAAUGAACCCAGAAGUUAAUGAGAGUGCUAUACAAUCAGAAUCAAAUGGGCGCAAGACUGGAAAAUUUGCGGAACCCAGUAAAAAGGAUGCCGAUGGUACUAUGUCUUGUGGAAAGAUUGAUGAUCAUUCAGAAAGAAUAUUGCAGGAUGCAAAUGGAAAUGGCCACUCGAUUCGUUCCCAAUAUCUUGGCGAGGCAAGUAAUGGUAAUGCCACAUGUGCUCAACAGUAUUCUGAGCAGUCAUCUGGUGCUGUUACCUCUAAAAGUCCAGUUUCACACCAUGAAGAGUCUGCUAAGGUAAAGGAUGUGGUGAAUUCAUCCAAAGAUAGCGUGCACCUGAAACGCCAACAUGAAGAAGACAAGUUUAAGGAAGUGCUUGUUAAGUCAGCUUCUUCUGAGCUUCGGCUGUCUGUUUGGGUGGAUGAUGUCUCCAAUUUUAUGCGCUCACUAAAGAGACGGCGAAUUCAAAACUCAGGCAUUCCUCAAGAUAUUGAUGCAAUGAGGAAGCUGCUAAAGUCAGAUUCUGAAAGAAUAUUUAGGUCAAAAGUUCCGGAGUCACUGGUGGAAAGUCUAAUUCAACGCCUGAGAUCAUACUUUGAGGGCAUAUAUUCGCCACAUGCUUAAUUUUUUCAUGUAGUUCUUCAGAAGCCACUUAGGUGCCAAUUGGAUCUUGGUGGUCAACUAUCCAGCUCCUUGCGCGGCUUAUUUUUGAGGACAUUUUUGUUUUUCUUGCUGAGUUUGAGACAAGGAGCGGCGAAGUUUCAUGUACAAUAUCCUUUUUGAUGCUAUUCCCCAUGCAAUAGGCACCGCCUGGAUCCCCCCCCCCUCAAACCAACCCACCCCUGGUAUAAGGUCCUUGAUUUUGGACUAAGUUCAUUUGUCGGGGGAACAUUUGAUAGAGACAUAAUGUAAAAUUUUGGUGUAAUCUCCGGAUGCAAAUUGGCCUGAGAAUAUACUCGAAUUUUGAUAAUUCUGAUGGUACGCUAGUGGAAAAUUGACUAGGGAAAUGGUUCGUGCGUCUCUGUUAUGAAGUUGUGUACUUUUGGUAUGUCGUCAUGCUCUUGAACCGCGCCAAGACGCAAAAAUGCCAGUCAUGUUGAGCACGAGGCCGAAGCUACGAUCUCCAAGGACGCAGUGUUUUGUGUUUCAAGUUGAUUCAAAGCUUAUUUUAGAACAUUUGUCGUUUUAUUUCUUUGUCAACGUUAUUUGCUCUGGAACCGCCCAGCGCUGAUGCGUUUGGAACAAUAGCGUAGCCAUCAGGCAUUUGUUCUUGCA